GUAAGACCCCGUGUGGUGUUCUCGCUCGAGUGAAGUUCCUAGAAAAUCUUCAAUCCUUCAUCUGGUGAUUCACAACGGAGAAACAUCCGGAACUUCACCUUCGACGGCAAGGUGCGGGCGGCGCAGGAGGCGGCCGGAGUUCGUCGUGUAUGAGGACGAGGAGAAGGCCAGCCUCUGCACCAGUGAGUUGCCCGCCGCUCUAGUCUAACCCCCUCCCGGCCAAGCUGCUCUACUGUGUCAGUGUCAGUUUACUUCAACGUACAUGCCAUCUUAACUGAAGCUAGCAUGGAGGAAACUACAUCCGUACUAAUUGGUUCACCACUGGAUGAAUUUGGGUUCUACAAUCUAACGUGCUGCCAUAAAGUUACUUGGUUCCUAUCUGUUCUCAACUUAUUACAGAGACAUACAUAGAAGCCAACACCAGUGUACAAAUGUCUGAAGUACAGAGGACACCGUAAAAUAUUUGCGUUGGAGACUUUUUUUUUGCUAACGUUUGUUGAUA
Molecule: long non-coding RNA, 502 nt
Organism: Lolium rigidum
Lineage: Eukaryota; Viridiplantae; Streptophyta; Magnoliopsida; Poales; Poaceae
Exons: 2
Source: RefSeq, a predicted model, not a curated record